Molecule: ribosomal RNA, 468 nt
Filed under: uncultured bacterium
Lineage: Bacteria
Description: partial 16S ribosomal RNA
Rfam family: Bacterial small subunit ribosomal RNA
Source: RNAcentral
GACGAACGCUGGCGGCGUGCUUAACACAUGCAAGUCGAACGGAAAGGCCCUGCUUUUGUGGGGUGCUCGAGUGGCGAACGGGUGAGUAACACGUGAGUAACCUGCCCUUGACUUUGGGAUAACUUCAGGAAGCUGGGGCUAAUACCGGAUAGGAGCUCCUGCUGCAUGGUGGGGGUUGGAAAGUUUCGGCGGUUGGGGAUGGACUCGCGGCUCAUCAGCUUAUUGGUGGGGUAGUGGCUUACCAAGGCUUUGACGGGUAGCCGGCCUGAGAGGGUGACCGGCCACAUUGGGACUGAGAUACGGCCCAGACUCCUACGGGAGGCAGCAGUGGGGAAUAUUGCACAAUGGGCGGAAGCCUGAUGCAGCAACGCCGCGUGCGGGAUGACGGCCUUCGGGUUGUAAACCGCUUUCGCCUGUGACGAAGCGUGAGUGACGGUAAUGGGUAAAGAAGCACCGGCUAACUACGUG